CUGCAACGCCGUUGCCAGUGGAUGCCAGCGAGAGCCCAGUCGUGACUCGGAGCCCGCGUCUUGAGAGACGCGCUCCGGCUCGCCUCUCCUCUCGGGCAGGAGCGGCCGGGGGCUCGGGUUUCUGGCCCCGCGGCGCUCUGGACGGCUCGGGAGUCCAGACGCCGCCGCGGACCGGGAUCCAGAGAGAGCGCGCCCAGCCCGGCCUCGGUCCCCACCGCGGCCCGGAAGGAAUCCGGGCGGCCUCCGCGGAGGUGAGUGCCCGGCGGGGGCGGGCCGGGGCGGCGCGCGGCCGGGGCGGCGCCCGCGGGCGGGGCCUGCUCGUCGGGCGCCCGGAGCGCCUUGUUCCUCCAGAGGGACGGCGGACGGCUCGCCGGGCUCCCGCACCUCCUCGCAGAUGUUUACCAGGAUUCAUACAUCGGAUGAAAUGCCUGCCCUUUUCUUCUCACGAUGCUGGUUUAAUUGAUUUAUUUUCCCCUACGUGUGGGAAUUCAGAAAAUCAAAGGUUUCCAAUAAAAGUAAUAGCUUUGAGUAUUCAAGAACAAU
This 543-nucleotide long non-coding RNA is filed under the name Urocitellus parryii (Arctic ground squirrel). RNAcentral's name for it is "lncRNA (ENSUPAG00010007720.1)". Lineage: Eukaryota; Metazoa; Chordata; Mammalia; Rodentia; Sciuridae. The record is from RNAcentral.